This 440-nucleotide ribosomal RNA is filed under the name uncultured bacterium. RNAcentral's name for it is "partial 16S ribosomal RNA". It matches the Rfam family "Bacterial small subunit ribosomal RNA", at positions 338 to 795 of the family's 1533-position model. The record is from RNAcentral.
CCUACGGGAGGCUGCAGUGGGGAAUAUUGCACAAUGGGGGAAACCCUGAUGCAGCGACGCCGCGUGAGUGAAGAAGUAAUUCGUUAUGUAAAGCUCUAUCAGCAGGGAAGAAAAUGACGGUACCUGAGUAAGAAGCCCCGGCUAACGACGUGCCAGCAGCCGCGGUAAUACGUAGGGGGCAAGCGUUAUCCGGAGUUACUGGGUGUAAAGGGAGCGUAGACGGCAGUGCAAGUCUGGAGUGAAAGGCGGGGGCUCAACCCCCGGACUGCUCUGGAAACUGUACGGCUGGAGUGCAGGAGAGGUAAGUGGAAUUCCUAGUGUAGCGGUGACAUGCGUAGCUAUCGCGCAGAACCCCGAUUGCGAAGGCAGCGUACCGGCUCCACACUGACGCUGAGGCACGAAAGCGUGGGUAUCGAACAGGAUUAGAUACCCGGGUAGUC